UGUGUAUAGUGGAUGUUAAAUGUGUGUAAUGAAUGCAGUGUGAAUAGUCUAUGCAGAUUGUAUGUUUGAGUAAUGUUUGUAGUGUUUGUGUGUAAAGAAAGAGAGAGUGUGUGUGUGUGUGUGUGUAUGUAUGUAUGUAUGUGUGUGUAUCUCACAAACGUGAGUACACCCAGGGAUCAAGUCCUGGGGAAUAAAGUGUGGGAACUCACCCAAGAUCCACCCACACCUCCCCCCAA
Non-coding RNA from Pelobates cultripes (western spadefoot toad), 236 nucleotides. Lineage: Eukaryota; Metazoa; Chordata; Amphibia; Anura; Pelobatidae. The record is from the annotation of a GenBank genome assembly.